CCUCAGAGGUCUGGCUGGCCGAGCCCAGCGCAGCCACCUCAGCGCAGGGAGGUGAGUUCUCCCUCCUCUGACAGGGAUUUACAAGGUGUUGGAACAGGUAAUUAGCCUCCAGACCUGCAGGAAAGCCUCCUGGUCAUCCUGCUGCAGCACGGGCAGUGAGCUGGAGGGUUGGUUUUUGGAUGGCUGAUUUACUCUGAACAAAGGCCCCAAACAGCACUGAGUAGCCGACUGGAGGAUGGUAACUUUAGAGCCAAUGGGCUCCUUUCCCAUCAGUUUAAAACACUGUUAUUUUUUUUCCAGGCUGAUAACAUUUUAAACAUACUGCAAGCCAGGGUUUUCCUGGGAGGCAGGGAACCCCCUGUGUUUGCUAGAAAAGAGGCUUCUGUGGGUACAUAAACCCAUCCUGUGAACUCACCUGUUGCCAGCCAAGGAGAAAUGUUUGGUGUUUCAUUUCAAUCAAGAAUUUGCCAUAUAUCUGGUGUUUUAUCUAACCUCACUCUUUGGAAGAUCUGAUGUUAUGCUUGGCAGAGCCCUCAAGCCCAAGCUGCUGUAUUACACUGUGCUGCAAGUUUCAGCUUUUUAGGCUGGUGGUGUUGUGAGAAUAAGCAUGGUCUGAAAUCCUCACAGAACGGGCAAGGUGCAUUUGAUGUGGCUCAAAUGAAUCUUGACUUUUUUAGUCAGGAGUUUCUGUAAGCCCUUGAAUCUGUUGUGAGAAAUCCAACAUUUUUCAAGCAGUGACUUUGAAAUGUACAGCUACGAGGAGAUCUUUUUUUUUGUCUUCACGAGCAACUGGAUCACCUGCACACCCUCCUCUGCAGGUGUGGAAACCCCACAAGCUCUGUGCUAACAGUUAACACCUGAGGAUCGUUAAUGCCAUUAGUAUAAAUCCUUGCCACAUGGGUAGUGUUGCCCUCUAUCAAUGCAGUGCAGCUAUCCCACUUGAGCACUCCAGUUGCAUCAGGUGAAGCCUGUGGUCAGAGGCUGCAAGUGAUUCAAGAGAAUUAACCUGUAUGGAAAUGAAAAAAGAAAAAGUUAAUGCAGAAAACUACCAGAUAUGCAUCCUGCCUCUCUUAUUAGAAGACAUUUGGAAAUUAUUUGCUCCUGACCCUUAUUUGAAUUUCAUUUACAUGGACAAAAUGUUGCAGUGGUGCGUCCUUAGUGUGAAGAGGCUCAAAUAAUGGCAACACUGUUCAUCAAACUGGACCAUCAAGGAGAAACUGAUGAGAAGUGGAGAGAUGGUCUGGCACAGCUAGCUGAAGUUUGAUCAACCCUGUGAGCGCAGGCUGCAAACCCAGAUUUGAAGUGAAGCAGAGCUGAGCGCAAGCAGGGAGAAGCCCAGAUGAUGAGAGAGAGCACCCUACAGGCUCUGCUGUUCAGUUCAUACCAGUCUCUGUCUUCCGGCUAUGGCUGUUCAAAGGUUACAUCAACUCAGGAGGUUUCAGAUUUUCCUUAUUCCCAUCAGGUCUCUCUGCAGAGAGAGAGGUCGCUACUCAGGGAGGCACUUUCCUCCUUGGAAACAAGAAAAGAAAUCACCGGGAAGGAGAGGAAAAUGCAUCUGGGUAACAGGAGGGGAUCUUGUCAAUCUUCAAGCCACUAGAAAAUGAUCAUGAAAGUCUUUUGUUAGAGAAGCCUAUAAUGGUACUAUUGCUUGUCUAUUGUGGCCACUAACAGCAAAUAGCCUGCAAGGGCAGGGGAGAUGUAGGAUUAGACAAAUUGUGAAGAGGGGCUCUGGAUGCUUGAAAAGUGCAUUCCUGCUCGUCAAGGUCAGAAGGGUCAAAAUAGUGUCAUCAUUCAUCCUCGAUGGAAGUAUUUCUAUAUACAAAUUGACCUUUAAAAACACCCAUGGCAUAUAUGGAAUAAUGCUAAUGAUGUACUGUCGGAUUUCUUCCACAAGUGGAAACAGAAAAGCAGUUGUAAUUCACUUAUGUUGAGCUGGAGACUAUGUUGUACAGUACUACUUCCACUGCUAGAAAAUGCAGCCAUCCUGAAUGUUUAAAAUUUAUUGUUUCUUUUAAGAGAGUUCAAUUAGUGUCAUAAUUUUUGGUGCAUUUUAAGAAUAUGCCUAGUUAGUAAAUCUUUUUCUCAGAAGGCUUGUCAUUAUCUGCACAUGUAUUUCUAGGAAUAGCAUUUGGUUGAAGCUAUGUUUAUCCAUUGAAAGCAAGAAAAAGGCUGGGUUGGAUCUUUCCUCAAGGAAGGAGAACCGAGUACCGGCUUACUUGUCCUCAGUUGUGCUUUUGAGCAGGGAUCCUCGCCCAGUUCAUCAUCUGACUUCAAUUCUUAGUGGGUCUAUUGCUUAAGUAAUUUAAUCAAGUUUGCUCAUUAAAUUGCUCUUCUAUAAUGUGCUUGCAGUGCCUGAAAAGAGCUUCGAGAAGACAAUGAUAGACAUAGGUGUUAUACUGAAUGGCAGCUGCUAAAUCCGUGUGGUGAUAAAUGUCUGUGAAGUAACUUCAUAUGGCACGACAAGUUGAACAUUUAUUUCAGGCUUUAAUUAAAAGUUCCCUCACUAAAAAUUUCAGAAGCACUAAAGCUACCAACUAUUUUGAAUUAUUCUCCCUUUAUGUGCAAUUAGGGGCAUGUUUUCUCCACCAUGCACAUUAUUAGUUCACAAACUCACAGUGCAUAACAGAGGAGAAAACUACCCUUGACAGUGGCUGUCUACUCUGCAAAGUAGUAUUGUUUCAAAAUGCCUGAAUAAAAGCACAUUAGCA
Pogoniulus pusillus (Red-fronted tinkerbird) is the source of this 2708-nucleotide long non-coding RNA. RefSeq lists it as uncharacterized. The transcript has 5 exons. The record is from RefSeq and is a predicted model, not a curated record. Lineage: Eukaryota; Metazoa; Chordata; Aves; Piciformes; Lybiidae.